Sapajus apella (tufted capuchin) is the source of this 381-nucleotide long non-coding RNA. RefSeq lists it as uncharacterized. NCBI's taxonomy places the organism in Eukaryota, Metazoa, Chordata, Mammalia, Primates, Cebidae. The record is from RefSeq and is a predicted model, not a curated record. The transcript has 3 exons.
UAGAGACAGAAUGAGGCAGAAGAAAGCUGGGCAAGGGCCCAGGUUUUAUGGGAAGCAAUGGACGAAGCAGGGUAGGCAAGGCUGGGCAAAUUGAUGAUUAGUUAGUAUGGAUAAUUUGGGUAGGCCCUGGGAUGUAGGGAUGGUCUCUGAUUGUUUAGUUACCUUGCUGUGGAGUGAUUAAAAUAGAGAAUUAUUUCCUCUUGGGGUAGAAAAGCCAAGAUAGGGGAGGUGUUCAAAGUAUGGGCUGUGGGUUGGUUGAUUGGCAUGUCAGAUGUGUGCUCAUAGGCAAAUUGUUUCGCUCUCUGGGUAUUAGCUAGAUCUGGGAGGAGAAGUCUCUCUAGGAUUAGCAAGGCCUCCACCAUGUAAAAGCCGUGCAAAAAA